AAGAACUUUCCCUACUCUUGACAUCCAGAGACCUUCCCAGAGAUGGAUUGGUGCCUUCGGGAACUCUGAGACAGGUGCUGCAUGGCUGUCGUCAGCUCGUGUUGUGAUAUGUUGGGUUAAGUCCCGCAACGAGCGCAACCCUUAUCCUUUGUUGCCAGCGGUUCGGCCGGGAACUCAAAGGAGACUGCCAGUGAUAAACUGGAGGAAGGUGGGGAUGACGUCAAGUCAUCAUGGCCCUUACGAGUAGGGCUACACACGUGCUACAAUGGCGCAUACAAAGAGAAGCGACCUCGCGAGAGCAAGCGGACCUCAUAAAGUGCAUCGUAGUCCGGAUUGGAGUCUGCAACUCGACUCCAUGAAGUCGGAAUCGCUAGUAAUCGUAGAUCAGAAUGUCACGGUGAAUACG
Molecule: ribosomal RNA, 406 nt
Filed under: Enterobacter sp. LP15
Lineage: Bacteria; Pseudomonadati; Pseudomonadota; Gammaproteobacteria; Enterobacterales; Enterobacteriaceae
Description: bacterial SSU rRNA
Rfam family: Bacterial small subunit ribosomal RNA
Source: RNAcentral